CGCCUGGGGAGUACGGGUGAGGUAACGGCUCACCAAGGCAUCGACGGGUAGCUGGUCUGAGAGGAUGAUCAGCCACACUGGGACUGAGACACGGCCCAGACUCCUACGGGAGGCAGCAGUAGGGAAUCUUGCGCAAUGGGCGAAAGCCUGACGCAGCAACGCCGCGUGGGGGAUGAAUGCCUUCGGGUUGUAAACCCCUUUCAGCAGGGACGAAAAUGACGGUACCUGCAGAAGAAGCUCCGGCCAACUACGUGCCAGCAGCCGCGGUAAUACGUAGGGAGCGAGCGUUGUCCGGAAUUAUUGGGCGUAAAGAGCUCGUAGGCGGUUCGGUAAGUCGGGUGUGAAAACUCAAGGCUCAACCUUGAGACGCCACUCGAUACUGCUGUGACUUGAGUCCGGUAGAGGAGUGUGGAAUUCCUGGUGUAGCGGUGAAAUGCGCAGAUAUCAGGAGGAACACCAGCGGCGAAGGCGGCACUCUGGGCCGGUACUGACGCUGAGGAGCGAAAGCAUGGGGAGCAAACAGGAUUAGAUACCCUGGUAGUCCAUGCCGUAAACGUUGGGCACUAGGUAUGGGAUCAUAUCAACGGAUUCCGUGCCGUAGCUAACGCAUUAAGUGCCCCGCCUGGGGAGUACGG
This 635-nucleotide ribosomal RNA is filed under the name uncultured Actinomycetes bacterium. RNAcentral's name for it is "bacterial SSU rRNA". It matches the Rfam family "Bacterial small subunit ribosomal RNA", at positions 234 to 885 of the family's 1533-position model. Lineage: Bacteria; Bacillati; Actinomycetota; Actinomycetes. The record is from RNAcentral.